GCUUUGAGUUUGUGAUCUCUUCUAGCCCAAGGGUCACAACGGGAUUUGGCAUGAGACAGUGACUUUAAGAGUCCUUUAUAAAUAGAGUUUGUUUGCAUUAACUAAAAAAAAAUUCAUUCUGGCUUUGAUUUUCGGCGAUUUGUUUCUUGGCUGAGUAACAUUUUUUAUGAAAUAAGCAACAAAACGCAGGACAUCAGAACGACUGUUGAAGAAAUGAAACAAUCAAGAUGCCCACAUUAAACCGCUGGAAAUCGGACAAUAAAGAUGGAGAAGACAUAGCAGUUUUAAUAAACUGAAACCAAGUGACAACACACACAGUUCCGUUUCUCCGUGCUCGGGCCUGAGCGUGAAGCCUGAACACUCACAGCAGUUUGAGGAAGGAGCGUCUAGGUGUGGCUCUGCUUCCCAUUUUGUACAGUGCGCUGCUGUCCGAGAUCUACAGACCAGAUUCUCUUCGUUUUCCUGCCCUCCUCAGACUUGAUAAUCGCUUCAAGUUCGCCGAUUCCUUUUCCUACUUAAACCUGCUGUCGCACCUCCCCAGUAACACUCCACUCCAGGUACUAGAGGUUUUGGUCUGUGAUUGUUUUUUGGCGGCACGGGAUUGGACCGGUCCUUGUUCAUGCUAGCCAGGCGCUCCACCCUAAGCUACAUCCCAGUACUUUCUUAGAGUUUAUCUUAAGACAGAGUCUCACAAAGUUGCCCAGGCUGGCCUCAAACGUUCAGUCUUCCCCAGGUACCUGGGAUAACAGGCAUGAAUCCC
Molecule: long non-coding RNA, 760 nt
Filed under: Fukomys damarensis (Damara mole-rat)
Lineage: Eukaryota; Metazoa; Chordata; Mammalia; Rodentia; Bathyergidae
Description: lncRNA (ENSFDAG00000031392.1)
Source: RNAcentral